UUAAUUGAAGAGUUUGAUCAUGGCUCAGAUUGAACGCUGGCGGCAGGCCUAACACAUGCAAGUCGAGCGGCAGCACAGAGGAACUUGUUCCUUGGGUGGCGAGCGGCGGACGGGUGAGUAAUGCCUGGGAAAUUGCCCGGUAGAGGGGGGAUAACCAUUGGAAACGAUGGCUAAUACCGCAUAACCUCGCAAGAGCAAAGCAGGGGACCUUC
RNAcentral lists this ribosomal RNA (212 nucleotides) under Vibrio cholerae. Its description in RNAcentral is "partial 16S ribosomal RNA". It matches the Rfam family "Bacterial small subunit ribosomal RNA", at positions 1 to 212 of the family's 1533-position model. Lineage: Bacteria; Pseudomonadati; Pseudomonadota; Gammaproteobacteria; Vibrionales; Vibrionaceae. The record is from RNAcentral.